GUCAGUCUAGCAUAGUGGUUUGAACAAUGAACUACAACUCGGAGACCAGAGUUCGAAUCUCUGCUCAGCCA
Phrynosoma platyrhinos (Desert horned lizard) is the source of this 71-nucleotide non-coding RNA. Lineage: Eukaryota; Metazoa; Chordata; Lepidosauria; Squamata; Phrynosomatidae. The record is from the annotation of a GenBank genome assembly.